Molecule: signal recognition particle RNA, 145 nt
Filed under: Nomascus leucogenys (northern white-cheeked gibbon)
Lineage: Eukaryota; Metazoa; Chordata; Mammalia; Primates; Hylobatidae
Description: Metazoan signal recognition particle RNA
Rfam family: Metazoan signal recognition particle RNA
About the family: The signal recognition particle (SRP) is a universally conserved ribonucleoprotein. It is involved in the co-translational targeting of proteins to membranes. The eukaryotic SRP consists of a 300-nucleotide 7S RNA and six proteins: SRPs 72, 68, 54, 19, 14, and 9.
Source: Rfam by way of RNAcentral
GCCGGGCGUGGUGGCGCAUGCCUGUAAUCCCAGCUACUUAGGAGGCUGAAGCAGAAGAAUCGCUUGAACCUGGGAGGUGGAGGUUGCAGUGAGCCAUCGUGCCACUACACUCCAGCCUGGGUGACAAAGCGAGAUUCUGUCUCAA